GAUGAACGCUAGCUACAGGCUUAACACAUGCAAGUCGCGGGGCAGCAUGGGGGUUGCUUGCAAUCCCUGAUGGCGACCGGCGCACGGGUGAGUAACGCGUAUCCAACCUGCCCUUCACCACGGGAUAACCCGGCGAAAGUCGGACUAAUACCGUAUGUUGUCCAUUGACGGCCUCCGAUUUGGACGAAAGGCUUAGCGGUGAGGGAUGGGGAUGCGUCCGAUUAGCUUGACGGCGGGGUAACGGCCCACCGUGGCUACGAUCGGUAGGGGUUCUGAGAGGAAGGUCCCCCACACUGGAACUGAGACACGGUCCAGACUCCUACGGGAGGCAGCAGUGAGGAAUAUUGGUCAAUGGGCGUAAGCCUGAACCAGCCAAGUAGCGUGCAGGAUGACGGCCCUAUGGGUUGUAAACUGCUUUUAGGCGGGGAUAAAGGGACCCACGUGUGGGUUUUUGCAGGUACCGCAUGAAUAAGGACCGGCUAAUUCCGUG
Molecule: ribosomal RNA, 490 nt
Filed under: uncultured bacterium
Lineage: Bacteria
Description: partial 16S ribosomal RNA
Rfam family: Bacterial small subunit ribosomal RNA
Source: RNAcentral